ACCGCGAUAUCGGACCACUGGCCAGCUUUGUUGACAAGCGGGAAGAGGAAAAUUAACGUAGAGAGUAGAACCUGAAUAUGUGAUCUGCAGUGGCCCCCUCGGGUUGCAAUUCAUAUACAAAAGCCGAGUUUGGAACGUGAGCUCGAGGCAGGUGCAGUAGAUGUGGAGAUGACUGUGAACUUGAAGAUUUACAGAGUUGCCUGAGGACACUUAAAAGGAACCUGCUUUCUAUUGCAAUUGGAGUAAAAACAUUUGAAAUUGAGAAGGCUAAUUUGAAUUCAAGAACUUGGUUCAUUGUUAAUCAAUCAACGAAUCAAUCAACAAGUUUGGAAGGACCUAAGUGCUGGGCACUAUACUAAACCCUGGGGAUAGACAUAC
RNAcentral lists this long non-coding RNA (378 nucleotides) under Sarcophilus harrisii (Tasmanian devil). RNAcentral describes it as "lncRNA (ENSSHAG00000024961.1)". Lineage: Eukaryota; Metazoa; Chordata; Mammalia; Dasyuromorphia; Dasyuridae. The record is from RNAcentral.